UUUUCACAUAAUCUCCCUAGUAAGUUGAUUCUCAAUUCUGUGUCAUUUCUUAAGCAGGAUGUUAUAAGGACAGGAUUAAGAAAACUCUUCACUAAGAAGAAUAUAACAGACUCAGACUGUAUUUGGCACAAAAGAAUUAUUCCUGGAAUUUAUUUGAAAAUCUGAGUUCGACAACAAAAUGAUGAAAAUAUUAUUGAAGAUGUUAAAAGUUGACCUCCAAGGAAAUUCCAAAUAUUUUUAAAACAAUGAAUUCUAAAUUCUAUGAAUUCUUCACCUAAAAUUCUCUAGGAUGUCAAUUUUUAUCAUGUAAAUCUACGAUUGACUAUUAUUUAGUAAAAAAAUUUGGAUUACCAAAUGAGUUCCACAAAUGAAGUUCUUUUGUUGCAGAUAUAGCCCUAGUAAUUACUUUUUAUAUGACAUUCUUCUCACCAUUUGUCUCAACAAAAAAAUGUAACAGAGACUGCUAAACAAAGAAGCUCUGAGUGCAAUAAAGCUUGACAAAAUUCAAUGGCAUCUCUCAUAACAAAAAGGACAUUCAUUAUUUGGCAAAGAAGCUUCUGAAAAGAAAUUGGUGAUUAGAAAUCAAUAGUUCAGAUUCCAAUCCAUUCCGGAGCAAAAGCAAUUUUAUUGAAAAGAAGCCUUUUAUAAAUGAACCACCAACAUAAUUGAGCAUCAAACCCAUGAAAUUGGUUCUUAUAUACUACAAAAAACUCUUACUUGUAUGCUUCCACUCAUUAAUUAGGCAAGGGAGGAUCUAGAACAUUUUGUAAGAGAAUAUCAAAGCAAUUCACAACUCCCAGUAUAACAAGUUAAUUUGUCACUGCUGUAACUUGUAAAGCCCACUAGUAAGCAACAAAAUAAAAUUCUACCAGAGCAAUAGACAAGAUAGAAUAUAAAAUUAUGAUAGCAAUAUUAGGAAACAUAAGAUAAAAUCUAUCAUAAAAAUAGGGGGGAAGUCGAUGAAUGAAAAAAUUCGAUAACCCUAACCCCGUCAACCCAAAUCAAGAUGGAUAAAUGAUAUAAAAUUUAAACAGAAAAACUGAAGACAAACAUACAACAUAACGAAAUUGAAGAGAAAACCUUUAUAUCCUACCAAAAAGAAAUCUUCAGUAGUUAGAAGUGCCAAGUGCAGAAGCACUAUCUUAUCUGGUUCAAUGGAAGCCAAAUCUUCCAACAAAGAGAGGUAGAUUUUUUUUCACCUUUUACCGGUGAGUAAAGUUGUCGGAGCACAGAGAAAAUUUCUUUGCUGUUGGAGAGAAAAAGAACGGCGGCUGUUAGGUAUGACUGUGACGAGCGACAAGGAAAAGAGGUUUUGUUGGCUUAAAAAUUAUUUUUUGGUCACGAUAUCUAGUAGGCUUAGACAUUUAUGCCAUUAUCUUAAAUGCCAAACUUUUACUUAACUUGCUUGUCAUCGUUUUAUUUUUCUUUCAAAUAUUUUAUCAAUUAGCCAGUACAAUAAAGCCUGUGAUAAGAAAAUGAUAUGUUGGAUUUGCUUAUAAACUAUUUUGUUAUUCUAUUAAUUUACUUAGGAUCCAUUUGAAGCAGCUGCGGAUUGAA
Molecule: long non-coding RNA, 1557 nt
Filed under: Carica papaya (papaya)
Lineage: Eukaryota; Viridiplantae; Streptophyta; Magnoliopsida; Brassicales; Caricaceae
Description: long non-coding RNA (CPAP_LNC013927)
Source: RNAcentral